This 200-nucleotide long non-coding RNA is filed under the name Olea europaea (common olive). Its description in RNAcentral is "long non-coding RNA (OEUR_LNC004428)". The record is from RNAcentral. Lineage: Eukaryota; Viridiplantae; Streptophyta; Magnoliopsida; Lamiales; Oleaceae.
UGACACAGAAGGCUUCUGAUAAGAUAACAAACAGCAAAGCAGAAACAAAAUAGGACUUGAUUUUUCUUUCUUGGCCUUAUGCAUAAGCAUCUAUUCUAUUACCUGAGGGGCAUAUUGAUGUGGGACACCUCCUAAUGACUUCAGCGAAUGAAAACAAGUCCUUGUGGCCUGCUUGACGAACGACAAAGACAUCGUAAAUU